This is a long non-coding RNA of Anguilla anguilla (European eel), 1569 nucleotides long. RefSeq lists it as uncharacterized. NCBI's taxonomy places the organism in Eukaryota, Metazoa, Chordata, Actinopteri, Anguilliformes, Anguillidae. The record is from RefSeq and is a predicted model, not a curated record. The transcript is spliced from 2 exons.
CCCACACCACCCCACCCCAAAAUAAAUUCAGCUUUAAAGUAAUUAUACCAGCAAGCCAAAAUAGCCAGUGGGAGGGAUCAAGCACCCUUAUACUUUGGAACCCAGUCUAUUUCAUUAUUGCACAAUGAACUCAAGGAUGUGAGUUCUCCCCUGUCAGUGCUUCACUACCAGACAAUUCUGGCUCCUCCUCUACACUGGAACAACCUCCUAACCUCCUCACCUGGGAGAGAUGAGGCAAAGCAUCACACUGAAUAGGUCAGUGGUGUAGCAGGCCCUAGUGACGGGCAGCACAUCACACUGAAUAGGUUAGUGGUGUAGCAGGCCCUAGUGACAGGCAGAGCAUCACACUGAAUAGGUCAGUGGUGUAGCAGGCCCUAGUGACAGCCAGCACAUCACACUGAAUAGGUCAGUGGUAUAGCAGGCCCUAGUGACAGGCAGAGCAUCACACUGAAUAGGUCAGUGGUGUAGCAGGCCCUAGUGACAGCCAGCACAUCACACUGAAUAGAUUAGUGGUGUAGCAGGCCCUAGUGACAGGCAGAGCAUCACACUGAAUAGGUCAGUGGUGUAGCAGGCCCUGGUGACAGGCAGAGCAUCACACUGAAUAGAUUAGUGGUGUAGCAGGCCCUAGUGACAGGCAGAGCAUCACACUGAAUAGAUCAGUGGUGUAGCAGGCCCUAGUGACAGCCAGCACAUCACACUGAAUAGAUUAGUGGUGUAGCAGGCCCUAGUGACAGGCAGAGCAUCACACUGAAUAGGUCAGUGGUGUAGCAGGCCCUAGUGACAGGCAAAGCAUCACACUGAAUAGGUUAGCGGUAUAGCAGGCCCUAGUGACGGGGAGCACCUGGCAGCAGGGCACCCGGCUCAGAUCAGAAGCACCCUUUCAGACGGCCGGCCCAUGCCAGCUCUCCCGCAGCUCAUUGGUUACUUCCAUUCAGGAUCCCGAGCAGGCGAUUGGUGUUUCUAUGCAGAUCCACACUCAGCUGACUGGUGUUUCUAUGCAGAUACACGGGGCAGCCGAUUCGUCUUUCCUCGCUGUUUGAGUCAGCGGCCGAUUGGUGCUCUCGCGCGACUUCCAGCGCAAAAGAGACGCGUUCCUGCAGCGCACGGGAGAGGAAGAACGCCUGAUUGGUGCAACCUGUGUUGGGAAAUAUAAGUCAGCUGACACCCGAUAGCUGCAGACGCCAGCCUGGAGAGAUUGCCGUUGGGCCCCCACACCUGAAAACUCACAGUUGAUGGACGUUGUGUGGACUUGUGCUAAUUCACAUAGUAAUAAUUAUAAUAAUGCAGGUAGACUGCAUUAUUUCUGAACAAAAUGAUGAAAUAAUGAAAUAAUGAAACCGCCCGGGAGUUGUGACUGCAAGACUCUCUGUUGCUAUGCAAACCACAGAGAUAAAGUGUGUGCCAAUGACUCACCGGAAAGAGCAAAAGAGAGUAAAAGAGAAAAAGGAGAGAGCUCUUGUUUGAAGGAUGCAAUCACUGAUGCUCGUUAUACUGUAUUACAACAAGCGCUAAUGAUUAAAAAGUGUUUUUGUUUCCUAGACUGUUGUGGAAAUACAAUGACAUUUAGCA